GGAGAGCUGGCUUAGUGGUUAAGAGCACCGAUUGCUCUUCCAGAGGUCCUGAGUUCAAUUCCCAGCAACCUCA
Molecule: transfer RNA, 73 nt
Filed under: Mus musculus (house mouse)
Lineage: Eukaryota; Metazoa; Chordata; Mammalia; Rodentia; Muridae
Description: tRNA-Ser
Source: RNAcentral